UAUGUACUACCUCUGUUCCAUAAUUCUUGUCUCAAAUUUGCCCAAAAAUGAAUGUAUCUAUUCCUAAAAAGCGUCUAGAACUCUAGAUACAUGUAAUAUUUCGACAAGAAUUAUGGAACAGAGGGAGUACAUC
Molecule: non-coding RNA, 133 nt
Organism: Brachypodium distachyon (stiff brome)
Lineage: Eukaryota; Viridiplantae; Streptophyta; Magnoliopsida; Poales; Poaceae
Source: Rfam